RNAcentral lists this ribosomal RNA (253 nucleotides) under uncultured bacterium. Its description in RNAcentral is "partial 16S ribosomal RNA". It matches the Rfam family "Bacterial small subunit ribosomal RNA", at positions 524 to 776 of the family's 1533-position model. The record is from RNAcentral.
UACGAAGGGGGCUAGCGUUGCUCGGAAUCACUGGGCGUAAAGGGUGCGUAGGCGGGUCUUUAAGUCAGGGGUGAAAUCCUGGAGCUCAACUCCAGAACUGCCUUUGAUACUGAAGAUCUUGAGUUCGGGAGAGGUGAGUGGAACUGCGAGUGUAGAGGUGAAAUUCGUAGAUAUUCGCAAGAACACCAGUGGCGAAGGCGGCUCACUGGCCCGAUACUGACGCUCAGGCACGAAAGCGUGGGGAGCAAAAGGG